UGGGGAAUUUUGCGCAAUGGACGAAAGUCUGACGCAGCGACGCCGCGUGUGCGAUGAAGGCCUUUGGGUCGUAAAGCACUGUCGACCGGGACGAAAACUCACGGACUAAUACUUCGUGAGUCUGACGGUACUGGUAAAGGAAGCACCGGCUAACUCUGUGCCAGCAGCCGCGGUAAUACAGAGGGUGCAAACGUUGCUCGGAAUUAUUGGGCGUAAAGGGCGCGUAGGCGGGAGUAUAAGUCAGAUGUGAAGUACCUGGGCUCAACCUGGGAACUGCAUUUGAUACUGUACUGUCUAGAGUGGAGUAGAGGGCAGUGGAAUUUCCGGUGUAGCGGUGAAAUGCGUAGAUAUCGGAAAGAACACCAGUGGCGAAGGCGACUGCCUGGACUCCAACUGACGCUGAGGCGCGAAAGCGUGGGGAGCAAACAGGAUUAGAUACCCUUGUAGUCCCUGAGCGGGCUGGCAAGGCG
RNAcentral lists this ribosomal RNA (470 nucleotides) under uncultured bacterium. RNAcentral describes it as "bacterial SSU rRNA". It matches the Rfam family "Bacterial small subunit ribosomal RNA", at positions 355 to 822 of the family's 1533-position model. The record is from RNAcentral.